This 290-nucleotide ribosomal RNA is filed under the name uncultured Spirochaeta sp. RNAcentral's name for it is "partial 16S ribosomal RNA". It matches the Rfam family "Bacterial small subunit ribosomal RNA", at positions 1095 to 1382 of the family's 1533-position model. Lineage: Bacteria; Pseudomonadati; Spirochaetota; Spirochaetia; Spirochaetales; Spirochaetaceae. The record is from RNAcentral.
AGCGCAACCCCUAUCAUCUGUUGCCAGCAUUUAAGGUGGGGACUCAGAUGAGACUGCCGGUGACAAACCGGAGGAAGGUGGGGACGGACGUCAAGUCAUCAUGGCCCUUAUGUCCUGGGCUACACACGUGCUACAAUGGCCGGUACAGAGUGAAGCGAAACCGCGAGGUGAAGCAAAACGCAAGAAAGCCGGUCUCAGUACGGAUUGGAGUCUGAAACUCGACUUCAUGAAGUUGGAAUCGCUAGUAAUCGCGCAUACAGCAUGGCGCGGUGAAUACGUUCCCGGGCCUU